This 406-nucleotide ribosomal RNA is filed under the name uncultured bacterium. RNAcentral describes it as "partial 16S ribosomal RNA". It matches the Rfam family "Bacterial small subunit ribosomal RNA", at positions 30 to 526 of the family's 1533-position model. The record is from RNAcentral.
AUUGAACGCUGGCGGCAUGCCUAAUACAUGCAAGUCGAGCGAGGGUCGGACGGGUGGGCAAUGUAUGGGGACCUGCCUGAUGGAGGGGGAUUACAACUGGAAACGGUAGCUAAUACCGCAUAACAUCAGAUGAACCCAGAUGGGAUUAGCUAGUAGGUGAGGUAACGGCUUACCUAGGCGACGAUCCCUAGCUGGUCUGAGAGAAUGAUCGGCCACACUGGGACUGAGACACGGCCCAAACUCCUACGGGAGGCAGCAGUAGGGAAUCUUGCACAAUGGGCGCAAGCCUGAUGCAGCCAUGCCGCGUGUGUGAAGAAGGCUUUCGGGUUGUAAAGUACUUUCAGUCGGGAAGCGGUACCCACACAGAAAGCCCCGGCUAACUACGUGCCAGCAGCCGCGGUAAUAC